UUUAAAAUGUAAAUUUUUAUUCUAAAUUAUUAGUAGUUAUGUUCUUUAAAAUUAAAAAAUUUGGCGGUAUUUUAGUCUAUUCAGAGGAAUCUGUUCUAUAAUUGAUACUCCACGAUUAUUAAUACUUAAGUUAUUAGUUUAUAUAUCAUCGUUAAAAAUAUUUUUAUAGAAAUAAAAUAUUUAAAAUUUUUUAUUAAAAAAUUAAUCAGAUCAAGAUGUAGCUUAUACUUAAGAAGAAAUGGAUUACAAUAAUUUUAAAUUUGGAUAUAUUAUUUAAAAUAAUAUUGAAAUUGGAUUUGAUAGUAAUUUUUUUAUAAUAAAAAAAUGAUUUUAGCUCUAAAAUAUGU
This 347-nucleotide ribosomal RNA is filed under the name Stilbus nitidus. Its description in RNAcentral is "partial 12S ribosomal RNA". Lineage: Eukaryota; Metazoa; Arthropoda; Insecta; Coleoptera; Phalacridae. The record is from RNAcentral.